CUUUUAUGAUGAUAAUAUUCUGCCAAAUGAUACUCAGUGGUGAUAUUAACCCUUUACCGUUCCAUUUUUUGUCUGAAGUG
Non-coding RNA from Lingula anatina, 80 nucleotides. Lineage: Eukaryota; Metazoa; Brachiopoda; Lingulata; Lingulida; Lingulidae. The record is from Rfam.